UAGAGUUUGAUUAUGGCUCAGAACGAACGCUGGCGGCAGGCCUAAUACAUGCAAGUCGAACGCACCUUUCGGGGUGAGUGGCAGACGGGUGAGUAACGCGUGGGAACCUUCCCUGUGGUACGGAAUAACUCCGGGAAACCGGUGCUAAUACCGUAUACGCCCUUCGGGGGAAAGAUUUAUCGCCAUAGGAUGGGCCCGCGUCGGAUUAGCUAGUUGGUGAGGUAAUGGCUCACCAAGGCUUCGAUCCGUAGCUGGUCUGAGAGGAUGAUCAGCCACACUGGGACUGAGACACGGCCCAGACUCCUACGGGAGGCAGCAGUGGGGAAUUUUCCGCAAUGGGCGAAAGCCUGACGGAGCAAUACCGCGUGAGGGAGGAAGGCUCUUGGGUUGUAAACCUCUUUUCUCAGGGAAUAAGAAAGUGAAGGUACCUGAGGAAUCAGCAUCGGCUAACUCCGUGCCAGCAGCCGCGGUAAU
RNAcentral lists this ribosomal RNA (474 nucleotides) under uncultured bacterium. RNAcentral's name for it is "bacterial SSU rRNA". It matches the Rfam family "Bacterial small subunit ribosomal RNA", at positions 1 to 524 of the family's 1533-position model. The record is from RNAcentral.